RNAcentral lists this ribosomal RNA (383 nucleotides) under uncultured bacterium. RNAcentral's name for it is "bacterial SSU rRNA". It matches the Rfam family "Bacterial small subunit ribosomal RNA", at positions 54 to 425 of the family's 1533-position model. The record is from RNAcentral.
CAUGCAAGUCGAGGGGAAACGGCAUCAAGCGCUUGCGCCUGAUGGACGUCGACCGGCGCACGGGUGAGUAACGCGUAUCCAACCUGCCCCACACUAAGGGAUAACCCGCAGAAAUGUGGACUAAUACCUUAUAUUUUCCACCAAGGGCAUCGUCGAUGGAACAAAGAUUUAUCGGUAUGGGAUGGGGAUGCGCCCGAUUAGGUUGUUGGCGGGGUAACGGCCCACCAAGCCUUCGAUCGGUAGGGGUUCUGAGAGGAAGGUCCCCCACAUAGGAACUGAGACACGGUCCUAACUCCUACGGGAGGCAGCAGUGAGGAAUAUUGGUCAAUGGGCGUGAGCCUGAACCAGCCAAGUAGCGUGCAGGAAGACGGCCCUAUGGGUUG